GCCAGGCAUGGUGGCCGGUGCCUGUAAUCCCAGCUACCUGGGAGGCUGAGGCAGGAGAAUUGCUUGAACCUGGGAGGUGGAGGGUGCAGUGAGCCGAGAUCAUGCCACUGUACUCCAGCCUGGGUGACAGAGCAAGACUCUGUCUCUA
Molecule: non-coding RNA, 148 nt
Filed under: Homo sapiens (human)
Lineage: Eukaryota; Metazoa; Chordata; Mammalia; Primates; Hominidae
Source: Rfam by way of RNAcentral